This is a long non-coding RNA of Ornithodoros turicata, 729 nucleotides long. RefSeq lists it as uncharacterized. The record is from RefSeq and is a predicted model, not a curated record. The transcript is spliced from 3 exons. Lineage: Eukaryota; Metazoa; Arthropoda; Arachnida; Ixodida; Argasidae.
GUGUGUGGUAGUGGUGUUACCGGUAGGCAUUUUCUUGCCUUCGGGCGAACUGCAUUGGAGAAUAAGUGAACUUGUCGCUGGGAUCACAUUGUGCACAGUGAGUGCACUCAGGGAAACGCAGAGAAACUCGGGAAAGAGGGAUUGUCGCGUUGUGGUGCAAGCAAAGAGGACAUAGCGAACAGCGGAUUCCAUUGUCAACUGUUCAAGAACUUCUCUGGAACAUAGAUCAGCGGGAGGGUGCGAGUUUUCGUAUCGAGCCCCCCCCCCCCUACCUUGGAGGUCUGGCUACGCCACUGCCUUUGGGCAAGGCUGGAAUGGGGCCCAUGCUUUAGGUUGUGUACAAAGACGAUCUCGUGAGCCAGGACCUCAUCCACUGCUCGCCUGAUUGCCACCAUCGUCACUUCCAGAGAAAUUAUGAUGAAAUGCCCAACCUGUGCCCAACCAUUACCCGACGGAUCACACUUCCAGAUUUUGGUGGUGGGGUCUAAGGUACCGGAUCCACCACCACUGCAGCCAUCACCGGAGCCGGAGUGCAUAUGGAUUCACCUGAACACGGUGUCAUUACCGCCACCACCAACACCCAACAACUGAGCUCCUCAUCAAGUGCCGCACAUCGCUUCUAUACCUUCUUUUUCCUACUAUCGCCGGAACCGGAGUACAUAUGGAUCGGUCGCAACUCAGUGCCGUCAUCACCAACAGCUGAGCUCCUCAACAACUGUCACACAUGCG